GGGUCAGUAGGUUGGUCGUGCCACCGGUACGUACUGGUCUCACUGAUUCCUCCUUCCUGAAGAACCGUAAUACCAUUAAGUUGGUGUUGCGGGGAAACAGGACUGUUACUUUGAAAAAAUUAGAGUGUUUAAAGCAAGCUAACGCUUGAAUACAUUAGCAUGGAAUAAUGAAAUAGGACGAUCGAUCCUAUUUUGUUGGUUUCUAGGAUUGACGUA
This 216-nucleotide ribosomal RNA is filed under the name Glomeromycotina sp. Its description in RNAcentral is "partial small subunit ribosomal RNA". The stretch from base 40 to 216 matches the Rfam family "Eukaryotic small subunit ribosomal RNA", at positions 686 to 864 of the family's 1831-position model. The record is from RNAcentral. Lineage: Eukaryota; Fungi; Glomeromycota.